RNAcentral lists this long non-coding RNA (464 nucleotides) under Gossypium raimondii (Peruvian cotton). RNAcentral describes it as "long non-coding RNA (GRAI_LNC000381)". The record is from RNAcentral. Lineage: Eukaryota; Viridiplantae; Streptophyta; Magnoliopsida; Malvales; Malvaceae.
GAGCAUGCUAUAUCUUAAAAUAAUACUAAUGAUGAAAUUUAAAAUGAUGUUAAAUUUAAAUAUUAAGUAAGGCUAGAUUUAAAAAAAACAAAUAUAUACAAAAAAUAAGAACCAAUUAAAUUUUAAAAAAAAUACACUGAUAAGGACUAAAUUUGAAUUAAAAUAGAAGUAAAAAGAAAAAAAAAUAAAACAUAAUAAUGGGUCAAAAAUAGAAUUAAAAUAAAAUUAAAGAGCAACAAACAUAAUUAAAACCAAAAAGGACCAAAAUGCUGCGCGCGAAUAACAUGAGGGACUAAAAGGGGAAUAUUCCCAAUCCUCUAAAACGCUGCGUUGCGGCAUGGACUAAAAUAAAAAGAAAAUCAGAUUAAAGGGAAAAAUUUUAAAAAACUAAAAGAACCGAUUUGAACACGCUACAAUAUAGAGAGGACCAUUUGCACAAAUCGCCCAAUGGUUGUGAAAAGCGC